GUGGGGAAUCUUCCGCAAUGGACGAAAGUCUGACGGAGCAACGCCGCGUGAGUGAAGAAGGUUUUCGGAUCGUAAAGCUCUGUUGUUUGAGACGAAUGUGCAGACUUUGAAUAAGGGUUUGUAAUGACGGUAUUAAACGAGAAAGCCACGGCUAACUACGUGCCAGCAGCCGCGGUAAUACGUAGGUGGCAAGCGUUGUCCGGAAUUAUUGGGCGGAAAGGGAGCGCAGGUGGGAAUGUAAGUCAGUCUUAAAAGUGCGGGGCUCAACCCCGUGAGGGGAUUGAAACUACAUUGCUUGAGUGCAGGAGAGGAAAGUGGAAUUCCUAGUGUAGCGGUGAAAUGCGUAGAGAUUAGGAGGAACACCAGUGGCGAAGGCGACUUUCUGGACUGUAACUGACACUGAGGCUCGAAAGCCAGGGGAGCGAACGGGAUUAGAAACCCUGGUAGUCC
Molecule: ribosomal RNA, 450 nt
Filed under: uncultured bacterium
Lineage: Bacteria
Description: partial 16S ribosomal RNA
Rfam family: Bacterial small subunit ribosomal RNA
Source: RNAcentral